Molecule: long non-coding RNA, 221 nt
Filed under: Elaeis guineensis (African oil palm)
Lineage: Eukaryota; Viridiplantae; Streptophyta; Magnoliopsida; Arecales; Arecaceae
Description: long non-coding RNA (EGUI_LNC041843)
Source: RNAcentral
CUUGAUAAAUUGAGAGAUCCAGAAAGAUUUUUGGUUUCUUCAAGAAUCAAGAAAGAAAGAUCAAAAGAGUUCACAAUUUCAAGUCUAUCCAAGCUUGGUUCAAGCCUAUUCGGGCUUUUGAUUCAAGCAAGCAGGAUUAAAAGGAGCCUAUUCAAAUUAGCCCUGUUGAUACUUAUAGAGAUAGGAUGCUUGUGUUGCUGAUUUAAAAUCUAUUCUGCCCC